RNAcentral lists this transfer RNA (73 nucleotides) under Elusimicrobiota bacterium. Its description in RNAcentral is "Elusimicrobia bacterium tRNA-Pro". It matches the Rfam family "tRNA". Rfam says of the family: Transfer RNA (tRNA) molecules are approximately 80 nucleotides in length. Their secondary structure includes four short double-helical elements and three loops (D, anti-codon, and T loops). Further hydrogen bonds mediate the characteristic L-shaped molecular structure. tRNAs have two regions of fundamental functional importance: the anti-codon, which is responsible for specific mRNA codon recognition, and the 3' end, to which the tRNAs corresponding amino acid is attached (by aminoacyl-tRNA synthetases). tRNAs cope with the degeneracy of the genetic code in two manners: having more than one tRNA (with a specific anti-codon) for a particular amino acid; and 'wobble' base-pairing, i.e. permitting non-standard base-pairing at the 3rd anti-codon position. The record is from RNAcentral. Lineage: Bacteria; Pseudomonadati; Elusimicrobiota. RNAcentral also lists the same sequence under 1 other name.
CGGGGCAUAGCUCAAUUGGCAGAGCGCCUGCUUUGGGAGCAGGAGGUUCCCGGUUCAACCCCGGGUGCCCCGA